Molecule: ribosomal RNA, 253 nt
Filed under: uncultured prokaryote
Description: partial 16S ribosomal RNA
Rfam family: Bacterial small subunit ribosomal RNA
Source: RNAcentral
UACGAAGGUCCCAAGCGUUGUUCGGAAUCACUGGGCGUAAAGGGAGCGUAGGCGGCGUGGUAAGUCAGAUGUGAAAUCCCGAGGCUCAACCUCGGAACUGCGUCUGAAACUACUCGACUAGAGUACUGGAGAGGGUAACGGAAUUCACGGUGUAGCAGUGAAAUGCGUAGAUAUCGUGAGGAACACCAGAGGCGAAGGCGGUUACCUGGACAGUUACUGACGCUCAGGCACGAAAGCAUGGGGAGCAAAAGGG